GAUUGUACGAUCAUGUAAGAGCAAGGCUUCCACCCCAGGCCAGAUACAGAUUCUGAGAUGGCGGGGGAUGGCGGUAGGACCAGACAAGGAAGAGAUCCUAGAGCAGUGUUGCCAACAGAACUUUCUGGGACGAUGGAAGUGUUCUUUAACAAACAUUGUGGUAGCCACCAGCCACAUACGGCUAUGGAGCACCUGAGAUGUGUUCCCUGGUCACCAGACUGCAGGAGCCACAUCUGGGCCUGGUGAAGAGGACUGCACAGCAUCACCGAGACCGCCUCCUGCAGCUGGCUGUGUCACUGGAUGGCCUUUGGGGUGCUUUACUCAGGAUGAGGAGGUCCCGAUAAGGAACAAAGAACUGACAAGCUACAGCCAGCUGGAAGAAUUCGGGAGGGGCCAAAAGGAGGGAGGGGUUGCCAGCCCAUAAUAUGUCCCGCCAACCUCCCAGAAACCCUCGCACUGGAAACCAUCUUGACUGAGAGGUGUGCGCGCCUCCAGGAAUUGGACCAAACGUGUGCACAGGCAAGAUGAUUGGCCAGAGACAACCCAGAAAGCUAACCCCAUUACCAUAAAACUUGAGGCUGCGAGCCACG
Non-coding RNA from Kogia breviceps (pygmy sperm whale), 590 nucleotides. Lineage: Eukaryota; Metazoa; Chordata; Mammalia; Artiodactyla; Physeteridae. The record is from RefSeq and is a predicted model, not a curated record.